Molecule: long non-coding RNA, 1093 nt
Filed under: Phaseolus vulgaris (common bean)
Lineage: Eukaryota; Viridiplantae; Streptophyta; Magnoliopsida; Fabales; Fabaceae
Description: long non-coding RNA (PVUL_LNC003674)
Source: RNAcentral
AUACAUUCUGUGUCGAUCGUGGUUGCUGACUUAUCUUCUGUUUUCUUCACUUAUGUUUAUUAAUUCAAAUAAUAGAAGUAAUGAGUAAUUAUUAUUGACGUUGGAAAUUCUCUCUCCUUAGGUGUGUCUUCUUUAUAAUGCGUUCGUGAGUUUGUUAGAGAAGAGUGUUAGUUUAAAACAAGUCUCUGUUUCUAGUUUUUCGAUUCAGUCCUGUGUAACAGUGUAGACUAAGGCCUUUUUGAAAACUGUAUUUGUUUUUUUUUUUUUAAACUUGUAUGCCGCAGAGCACAUUUAGAAGUGUUUGUAAUUGAGCAUGAUUUUUUUUAUAAGCUUUUUCUUGAGCACUUGAAUAGAGCAUUUGAAGGAAAAAAAAAAAAGACGAUGCGAAAGCAUGUGUUACAUUAGCAGAUUUUUAUGAGUUUCUAAACUAGAACACUUGUUCUGUAAAUAUUUUUUAGAACUAAACUGAUUUUGUAUGAGAAAUUGAUUGUUGUCUGGUGUAGACUAUUUUUAAAAGCUUAUUUUAAAAUAAAAAAUGAGAAGCUAUUAAAUAGACCCUGAGUUUUUUCUCUUCUCUUCGGUAUUGCAUGGUGAGCUUGAUUACUGGUAGAAGACCUAGACAGACAAUUCAUUUACUAGUUGCUGUAGGCUAUUCAAUUAUACAUUUAUGGGUUUUCAUGAUUUUGCAUAUUAUGCUAAUGUGUGUGUGUGUGAUAUAGGCUACGCAUUUUUUUGGAGUCAUACAGAAAACAGACUAUUAAUAUGAUUGGUUCAAUUUUAGCCUUCUAUAAAUUUGUAAUAUUUUUGGUGUGCAAGUCAUCUCUAUAAAAUUUAAAUUUUAUAAACCACAAUAAUAUUGAUAGUUUAAGUAUGAAUCAAAUGUUUUAAAUGUUGGGACAUGAAAACAUCGUUUCUCAAUGUCCCACUAUAAGCACCAUGAUUUUGUUGGAAGGUGGUUAAGAUCAAAGUGAACAUUGUUUAGUGUUUAGGCUUGUUUAGUUUGAAGCAUCAUGAGAAUGAUUUGUUUAGGGUUUAGACUCAAGUUUGGGCAAUUCCAUUGGAAGAGCUACUUGUACUUGGCAUAUAAAUAUAG